UCUCUGAUCACCAUUCUGCAAAGGAACAGCCUACUGGUGCCUGGGUGACGUUUCUGUGAUCCUUUCAUCCUGUGGGGAGCCAUCCAUGUAGCUGACCUUCUCCUAACCCUACCCCUGCAGCAAGUGGUAGCUGCUGUUGCUGCUUCCUCAUUAUCUCGACCAUCACUGCCAUUGUCAUCAUCAUUACCAUCACCAUGCUCUAAUAUCUCCCAUGAACACCAGAUUCCUACGUUCAACUGCCUAUGUGAUA
Ailuropoda melanoleuca (giant panda) is the source of this 250-nucleotide long non-coding RNA. RefSeq lists it as uncharacterized. The transcript has 3 exons. Lineage: Eukaryota; Metazoa; Chordata; Mammalia; Carnivora; Ursidae. The record is from RefSeq and is a predicted model, not a curated record.